CAUUCCAGCCUGGGCAACAGAGUGAGACUCUGUCUCAAAAAGAAAAAAAAAACACAGAAACAAAAACAACACCCUGAAAGUGUCUAUUAAGUUUUUAAACAAUACUGGAGGAAGGAGAAGUAGUCUUAUUUAAAGCUCUUCUACAGAGCACCACUAGAGGGCAUUUUGUUCAGAUUGUUUUAACUCACAUUUGACAGAGAGCGGAUCUGAAGCUCAGGUGCCGAUUCUGUCCUGUGGGUCAGCCGUCCUGGGGCCAAGUGUGGUGCUGGCUGAACAGCAGGAACUCCCCCACCCCAAGCCAGUGAAGUCCUGACCGUUCUCUCUGCCUAGACAAGACCUUUUAGGAACCUAGGAUGCCUGGGAGAGCAUGGGUGACAUCCUUCUGAAGGCAGCAAUGAAGAAAAAGGUACACUGUGAAUCAAUUAAAUCCUUGUUGAUUUUA
This is a long non-coding RNA of Homo sapiens (human), 442 nucleotides long. RefSeq lists it as uncharacterized. The record is from RefSeq and is a predicted model, not a curated record. The transcript is spliced from 2 exons. NCBI's taxonomy places the organism in Eukaryota, Metazoa, Chordata, Mammalia, Primates, Hominidae.